UUCUGGAUUGAAACCUUCCUAAAAUUUGAACUAUUCUCAAAUAACACCAAAAAGCUUAAAAAAAUGACACACCACACGAAAAAUGUUAUCUCAAUUUAUCCGCCAAUUUUUUGCAAGUGUUUUAGGUGACAAUUUUAAAAAAGUAUUUUGUGGUAACUCAAAUUAGGCUUCGGGGGGUAUAUGAAAAUUACCCUCUUUCUCUUCCUCCUGCCGCAAUCAGAGGUUUCAACGCGAAACGAGGAUCCGCCUCUUGAAAAAGAGUUAACUUUUUCCAUCUCCAGCUUCUCUUACUCAUCAAUCAGGGCUUUGCACUCCGUCAUUUGAUCAUUCACGUUUCCUCGAAUCCCCAAAAAGGCUUCUAUGAGACAAGGGUUGCAUAUUAUUCAUGAAGGGGUUCGCAGGAUGGAUAGACAGUUUAUCUAGAAGCAUUUGAUUGGGAAUGAGCUCCUCACCGGUUCCAACUAUGACAACUGGAAGAUGCAAGUUAAAAUAGUACUUGGGUGUCUUGACUACGACUAUGUUCUCA
Molecule: long non-coding RNA, 526 nt
Organism: Asparagus officinalis (garden asparagus)
Lineage: Eukaryota; Viridiplantae; Streptophyta; Magnoliopsida; Asparagales; Asparagaceae
Exons: 3
Source: RefSeq, a predicted model, not a curated record